This 221-nucleotide ribosomal RNA is filed under the name uncultured bacterium. Its description in RNAcentral is "partial 16S ribosomal RNA". It matches the Rfam family "Bacterial small subunit ribosomal RNA", at positions 124 to 334 of the family's 1533-position model. The record is from RNAcentral.
AUCUACCCUGGGGUGGGGAAUAACGUUUCGAAAGGAACGCUAAUGCCGACAUGUGCAGGGCUCUCGCAAGAGGGGCCUGGAAAGCCGGUCCGUUGGGAUUGGCGCCCGAGGAUGAGCUCACGUCCUAUCAGCUAGUUGGCGGGGUAAUGGCCCACCAAGGCUGCGACGGGUCGCUGGUCUGAGAGGACGACCAGCCACACUGGCACUGCGACACGGGCCAG